RNAcentral lists this ribosomal RNA (502 nucleotides) under uncultured bacterium. Its description in RNAcentral is "bacterial SSU rRNA". It matches the Rfam family "Bacterial small subunit ribosomal RNA", at positions 8 to 502 of the family's 1533-position model. The record is from RNAcentral.
AGAGUUUGAUCCUGGCUCAGAUUGAACGCUGGCGGUAGGCUUAACACAUGCAAGUCGAACGGUAACAUAGCUAGCUUGCUAGCUGAUGACGAGUGGCGGACGGGUGAGUAACGCGUAGGAAUCUACCUAAUAGUGGGGGACAACCUGGUGAAAACCAGGCUAAUACCGCAUACGCCCUACGGGGGAAAGCAGGGGAUCUUCGGACCUUGCGCUAUUAGAUGAGCCUGCGUUAGAUUAGCUUGUUGGUGAGGUAAUGGCUCACCAAGGCGACGAUCUAUAGCUGGUCUGAGAGGAUGAUCAGCCACACUGGGACUGAGACACGGCCCAGACUCCUACGGGAGGCAGCAGUGGGGAAUAUUGCGCAAUGGGCGAAAGCCUGACGCAGCCAUACCGCGUGUGUGAAGAAGGCUCUAGGGUCGUAAAGCACUUUAAGUAGGGAGGAAGGCCUGAAGAUUAAUACUCUUUAGGAUUGACGUUACCUACAGAAUAAGCACCGCUAACU